ACCCACGUCCUUAGUUGCCAUCAUUUAGUUGGGCACUCUAGGGAGACUGCCGGUGAUAAGCCGCGAGGAAGGUGUGGAUGACGUCAAGUCCUCAUGGCCCUUACGGGAUGGGCUACACACGUGCUACAAUGGCGGUGACAGUGGGACGCGAAGCCGCGAGGUGGAGCAAAUCCCCAAAAACCGUCUCAGUUCGGAUUGCACUCUGCAACUCGGGUGCAUGAAGGCGGAAUCGCUAGUAAUCGUGGAUCAGCACGCCACGGUGAAUACGUUCCCGGGCCUUGUACACACCGCCCGU
Molecule: ribosomal RNA, 295 nt
Filed under: uncultured Methylobacterium sp.
Lineage: Bacteria; Pseudomonadati; Pseudomonadota; Alphaproteobacteria; Hyphomicrobiales; Methylobacteriaceae
Description: partial 16S ribosomal RNA
Rfam family: Bacterial small subunit ribosomal RNA
Source: RNAcentral